CCUUGACAUACUAAGAACUUUCCAGGGAUGGAUUGGUGCCUUCGUGAACUUAGAUACAGGUGCUGCAUGGCUGUCGUCAGCUCGUGUCGUGAGAUGUUGGGUUAAGUCCCGNAACGAGCGCAACCCUUUUCCUUAUUUGCCAGCGGGUCAUGCCGGGAACUUUAAGGAUACUGCCAGUGACAAACUGGAGGAAGGCGGGGACGACGUCAAGUCAUCAUGGCCCUUACGGCCAGGGCUACACACGUGCUACAAUGGUCGGUACAAAGGGUUGCUACCUCGCGAGAGGAUGCUAAUCUCAAAAAGCCGAUCGUAGUCCGGAUCGCAGUCUGCAACUCGACUGCGUGAAGUCGGAAUCGCUAGUAAUCGCGGAUCAGAAUGCCGCGGUGAAUACGUUCCCGGGCCUUGUACACACCGCCCGUCACACCAUGGGAGUUUGUUGCACCAGAAGUAGGUAGUCUAACCGCAAGGAGGACGCUUACCACGGUGUGGCCGAUGACUGGGGUGAAGUCGUAACAAGGUAGGCGUAGAUGA
This 531-nucleotide ribosomal RNA is filed under the name uncultured bacterium. RNAcentral describes it as "bacterial SSU rRNA". It matches the Rfam family "Bacterial small subunit ribosomal RNA", at positions 979 to 1509 of the family's 1533-position model. The record is from RNAcentral.